GCCAGACUCCUACGGGAGGCAGCAGUGGGGGAUAUUGCACAAUGGGGGGAACCCUGAUGCAGCGACGCCGCGUGAGCGAUGAAGUAUUUCGGUAUGUAAAGCUCUAUCAGCAGGGAAGAAAAUGACGGUACCUGACUAAGAAGCCCCGGCUAACUACGUGCCAGCAGCCGCGGUAAUACGUAGGUGGCAAGCGUUGUCCGGAUUUACUGGGUGUAAAGGGCGUGUAGCCGGGUUGUCAAGUCAGAUGUGAAAUCCUGCGGCUUAACCGCAGAACUGCAUUUGAAACUGUUGAUCUUGAGUACAGGAGAGGCAGACGGAAUUCCUGGUGUAGCGGUGAAAUGCGUAGAUAUUAGGAGGAACACCAGUGGCGAAGGCG
RNAcentral lists this ribosomal RNA (376 nucleotides) under uncultured bacterium. RNAcentral's name for it is "bacterial SSU rRNA". It matches the Rfam family "Bacterial small subunit ribosomal RNA", at positions 330 to 723 of the family's 1533-position model. The record is from RNAcentral.